This 253-nucleotide ribosomal RNA is filed under the name uncultured bacterium. RNAcentral's name for it is "partial 16S ribosomal RNA". It matches the Rfam family "Bacterial small subunit ribosomal RNA", at positions 524 to 776 of the family's 1533-position model. The record is from RNAcentral.
UACGGAGGGGACUAGCGUUGUUCGGAAUUACUGGGCGUAAAGGGCGCGUAGGCGGCGUGUCAAGUCAGGCGUGAAAGCCCCGGGCUCAACCUGGGAACCGCGCUUGAGACUGGCAUGCUCGAGUUCGGGAGAGGAUGGUGGAAUUCCCAGUGUAGAGGUGAAAUUCGUAGAUAUUGGGAAGAACACCGAUGGCGAAGGCAGCCAUCUGGACCGACACUGACGCUGAGGCGCGAAAGCGUGGGGAGCAAACAGG